This 496-nucleotide ribosomal RNA is filed under the name uncultured bacterium. Its description in RNAcentral is "partial 16S ribosomal RNA". It matches the Rfam family "Bacterial small subunit ribosomal RNA", at positions 28 to 507 of the family's 1533-position model. The record is from RNAcentral.
GAUGAACGCUGGCGGCGUGCCUAAUACAUGCAAGUCGAGCGAACAGAUGAGGAGCUUGCUCCUCUGACGUUAGCGGCGGACGGGUGAGUAACACGUGGAUAACCUACCUAUAAGACUGGGAUAACUUCGGGAAACCGGAGCUAAUACCGGAUAAUAUAUUGAACCGCAUGGUUCAAUAGUGAAAGACGGUUUUGCUGUCACUUAUAGAUGGAUCCGCGCCGCAUUAGCUAGUUGUAAGGUAACGGCUUACCAAGGCAACGAUGCGUAGCCGACCUGAGAGGGUGAUCGGCCACACUGGAACUGAGACACGGUCCAGACUCCUACGGGAGGCAGCAGUAGGGAAUCUUCCGCAAUGGGCGAAAGCCUGACGGAGCAACGCCGCGUGAGUGAUGAAGGUCUUCGGAUCGUAAAACUCUGUUAUUAGGGAAGAACAAAUGUGUAAGUAACUAUGCACGUCUUGACGGUACCUAAUCAGAAAGCCACGGCUAACUACGUG